This 1046-nucleotide long non-coding RNA is filed under the name Homo sapiens (human). RNAcentral's name for it is "long intergenic non-protein coding RNA 1801". The record is from RNAcentral. Lineage: Eukaryota; Metazoa; Chordata; Mammalia; Primates; Hominidae.
GGCCUCCUUGAGCUGUGGUGGGCUCCACCCAGUUCGAGCUUCCUGGCUGCUUUGUUUACCUAAUCAAGCCUGGGCAAUGGCGGGCGCCCCUCCCCCAGCCUCGCUGCCGCCUUGCAGUUUGAUCUCAGACUGCUGUGCUAGCAAUCAGCGAGACUCCGUGGGCGUAGGACCCUCCGAGCCAGGUGCGGGAUAUAUUCUCGUGGUGCGCCGUUUUUUAAGCCCGUCGGAAAGGCGCAGUAUUUGGGUAGGAGUGACCCGAUUUUCCAGGUGCCGUCCGUCACCCCUUUCUUUGACUCAGAAAGGGAACUCCCUGACCCCUUGCGCUUCCCAAGUGAGGCAAUGCCUCGCCCUGCUUCGGCUCGCGCAUGGUGCUCGCUCCCACUGACCUGCGCCCACUGUCUGGCACUCCCUAGUGAGAUGAACCCGGUACCUCAGCUGGAAAUGCAGAAAUCACCCGUCUUCUGCGUCGCUCACGCUGGGAGCUGUAGACUGGAGCUGUAGACAGGAGCUGUUCCUAUUCGGGCAUCUUGGCUCCUCCUUGAAAACAAGCCCUGGAAAAACAAAGAAUGGAACACCCCUCCGCUGACUUCAACCAACUGCCUGCUGAUGCGGCCUGACUCCCAGCCCUUUUUGCAGUUUUGAAGUGACAAACUGACUAGGCUACAAAGUAUUCAACCAUGGGCUGGUUCUGGCUGGUUCACCGAGGCUGUGUACAAAGUGUCUUCAUGUCCUGUGUUUCACCUUUUAACAUACAGAACCUAAUUUUACUGCAUUUUAAUGUUAAUUCUCCACUCGAAGGUGAACAUGGGAUGUAUGUAACACAUAUGUUUGCUUAUCAAGCACACAUAUGACCCCCUUUCAUGAAUAUUCAUAGUUCCCCCUGUGACCUGUUGAAUAUGUCUGUUUAGCCAACCUGUUUGGCAUAAAACUCCUAUCCCACCCUAUCUCCCUCAAAGUACCUGUUUGUGGUCUCAGCUGGAGGUGCCACUUCCCAGCCUGCAGUUUGCAACCCUUCUCAAGAAAUAAAGUCUUCCUUUCCAAGUUUA